UAUUUAUUAAUUAAUUACUUAUUUGUUUUUAAACAUUAAAUAAAAAAAAUUGAUUUAUUGACCCGUCAGUUUUUCAAGAUGCGUAGUAAUCUUAAAGUUAAAAAUUCAAUUUAAUUUCAAAAUUUAUUUAUACGCAUAGAGUCUUGUUGACCGGUCUCAAAUAGGCGAUUCCUAAGUGAAUCAUUUUACGAUUAUUUAACAUAAACAUUAAAUUUCUUUUAGUUUAAUCUCUGAUUUUUUACUUCGAGUCCCUUGGCUUUCUCUUGGGCCUUCUUACAACGAGAUUCUUUUAUUUUUUUCAAUUGUCUUUCAAAGCUUAUAUAAUUUAAUUAUCAUGUUGUAUCCCCAUUCGAUAAACUGCACCCCCAUUCC
This 372-nucleotide long non-coding RNA is filed under the name Lathyrus oleraceus (garden pea). Its description in RNAcentral is "Pisum sativum (pea) long non-coding RNA (PSAT_LNC015314)". Lineage: Eukaryota; Viridiplantae; Streptophyta; Magnoliopsida; Fabales; Fabaceae. The record is from RNAcentral.